This 465-nucleotide ribosomal RNA is filed under the name uncultured bacterium. Its description in RNAcentral is "partial 16S ribosomal RNA". It matches the Rfam family "Bacterial small subunit ribosomal RNA", at positions 28 to 507 of the family's 1533-position model. The record is from RNAcentral.
GACGAACGCUGGCGGCGUGCUUAACACAUGCAAGUCGAACGGAAAGGCCCUGCUUGCAGGGUACUCGAGUGGCGAACGGGUGAGUAACACGUGGGUGAUCUGCCCUGCACUUCGGGAUAAGCCUGGGAAACUGGGUCUAAUACCGGAUAGGAGCCAUUUUUAGUGUGAUGGUUGGAAAGUUUUUUCGGUGUAGGAUGAGCUCGCGGCCUAUCAGCUUGUUGGUGGGGUAAUGGCCUACCAAGGCGGCGACGGGUAGCCGGCCUGAGAGGGUGGACGGCCACAUUGGGACUGAGAUACGGCCCAGACUCCUACGGGAAGCAGCAGUGGGGAAUAUUGCACAAUGGGCGCAAGCCUGAUGCAGCGACGCCGCGUGGGGGAUGACGGCCUUCGGGUUGUAAACUCCUUUCGCUAGGGACGAAGCUUUUUGUGACGGUACCUAGAUAAGAAGCACCGGCUAACUACGUG